UACGGAGGGGGCUAGCGUUGUUCGGAAUUACUGGGCGUAAAGCGCACGUAGGCGGCUUUGUAAGUUAGAGGUGAAAGCCCGGGGCUCAACUCCGGAAUUGCCUUUAAGACUGCAUCGCUCGAAUUGUGGAGAGGUGAGUGGAAUUUCCGGUGUAGCGGUGAAAUGCGUAGAUAUCGGAAGGAACACCUGUGGCGAAAGCGGCUCACUGGACCAUUACUGACGCUGAGGCACGAAAGCUAGGGGAGCAAACAGG
Molecule: ribosomal RNA, 253 nt
Filed under: uncultured bacterium
Lineage: Bacteria
Description: partial 16S ribosomal RNA
Rfam family: Bacterial small subunit ribosomal RNA
Source: RNAcentral